GACGAACGCUGGCGGCGUGCUUAACACAUGCAAGUCGAACGGAAAGGCCCUGCUUUUGUGGGGUGCUCGAGUGGCGAACGGGUGCGUAACACGUGAGUAACCUGCCCUUGACUUUGGGAUAACUUCAGGAAACUGGGGCUAAUACCGGAUAGGAGCUCCUGCUGCAUGGUGGGGGUUGGAUAGUUUCGGCGGUUGGGGAUGGACUCGCGGCUUAUCAGCUUGUUGGUGGGGUAGUGGCUGACCAAGGCUUUGACGGGUAGCCGGCCUGGGAGGGUGACCGGCCACAAUGGGACUAAGAGACGGCCCAGACUCGUACGGGGGGCAGCAGGGGGGAAUAUUGCACAGUGGGCGGAAGUCUGAUGCAGCAGCGCCGCGUGCGGGAUGACGGCCUUCGGGUUGUAAACCGCUUUCGCCUGUGACGAAGCGUGAGUGACGGUAAUGGAUAAAGAAGCACCGGCUAACUACGUG
This 468-nucleotide ribosomal RNA is filed under the name uncultured bacterium. RNAcentral describes it as "partial 16S ribosomal RNA". It matches the Rfam family "Bacterial small subunit ribosomal RNA", at positions 28 to 507 of the family's 1533-position model. The record is from RNAcentral.